CUUGGUCAUUUAGAGGAAGUAAAAGUCGUAACAAGGUUUCCGUAGGUGAACUUGCGGAAGGAUCAUUAGUGAACGCCCUCACGGGCUUAUAACUAUUCCAAACCUCUGUGAACCGUGCCCUUCGGGGCUAUUUUACAAACAUGGUGUAAUGAACGUCAUAUAUCAUAACAAAACAAAACUUUCAACAACGGAUCUCUUGGCUCUCGCAUCGAUGAAGAACGCAGCGAAAUGCGAUAAGUAAUGUGAAUUGCAGAAUUCAGUGAAUCAUCGAAUCUUUGAACGCACCUUGCGCCCUCUGGUAUUCCGGAGGGCAUGCCUGUUUGAGUGUCAUGUAGACUCAAUCCCUCGGGUUUCCGAGGAGAUUGGACUUGGGUGUUGCCGCUCUGCCGGCUCGCCUUAAAAGACUUAGCGGGAUAGCACCGUAGUCGGCGUAAUAAGUUUCGUCGGUGAAGGUUGUGAUGACUGCUUACAAUCGCCCUCGGGCAAUUUUUGACUCUGACCUCAAAUCAGGUAGGACUACCCGCUGAACUUAAGCAUAUCAAUAAGCGGAGGA
RNAcentral lists this ribosomal RNA (553 nucleotides) under uncultured fungus. RNAcentral's name for it is "eukaryotic LSU rRNA". The stretch from base 177 to 330 matches the Rfam family "5.8S ribosomal RNA". The record is from RNAcentral. Lineage: Eukaryota; Fungi.